AUGUUAAUAAUUAACCAUUUUUUCAUUUGUACAACAGGUAUCGAGCAGCACUCCUCCGGCGAAGAAAAAAAUAGACAAAAGCCAUGGCGCGCGCACGACGACGCGGUCCACCACGGCCCGCUCGCCCGUCCAUCAGCCGGACAGGACGCCCCCGGCGGACUCCUCGUCGACGUGGUCGACCACGAGCGGGUUCCGGCCGAGGAUGGAGGAGAGGAGGUACCUCGCCGCGAUCCAGUCGCCGUCGUCGUCCAUGCCCGAGAACUUGCUGCUCAGUUGCUCCGGGUCUGGCGCUUCCGGGGAUCUGAAGAGAACGAAGAAGAAGAAGAAGAAGAGAGAGAGAGAGAGAGAUGGGGGAGAGCGGACGGGUGCGAUUAA
Molecule: ribosomal RNA, 375 nt
Filed under: Triticum aestivum (bread wheat)
Lineage: Eukaryota; Viridiplantae; Streptophyta; Magnoliopsida; Poales; Poaceae
Description: partial small subunit ribosomal RNA
Source: RNAcentral